AAUCCUAGGAUUUUUGACACCAAUCGAGUGUAGAGAUGAAAGACAAGAGUGUUUGGCAAAUAUCAACAAAGAAAGUAAAAUAAAAAAUCCUAAGAAAGAACUUAAGACUUUAACGUAAAGAAACACAGUAGAAGAAUCAACAUAAGAAACACAGUACAAGAACAAUAUAAAAAACACAGAAGAACACGUUAAAGAUCAAAAGAACUUCUAAAUAACUUGAGAAAAUCCUAAAUCAAAAAAGAUAAAGGUUUUGAAAGAGAGUUUUGAAAGAAACUUUGAGAAAACGUUUGAAAUUUUAGGAAAAAUAAGGAAAUAGAACAAAUCUAAAGAAAUCAGAAGAACCUCAAAAGUUAGGGUUUUAGAAGAACAUGAUGGUGACAAAGGCUUGGAAGGUCAUCGAUCUUAGCAGGAGAAAUCAAGCUCAGGCUUGAACAGCCAUGGCUGGCCAUAGCAAGGUCUGAAAUAGCCAUAGAACUUGAAUGAAACAAAAUCUGGGCCAAGCUUCUUCAUGGUCAGGCCUUGAAAUUAUGGUAACCAUGUGCUUAGGAGUUAUAGGAGACUGGUAUAGGACUUCAAUGGCCUUGGAAGCCAUGGAUUCUGGUGAUUUUAGGGUGGAAGCUGAGGAAGGCGGCUAAGGUUUGAGAGGAGUUUGAGAUAAAGCUGGGAGAAGGGGAAAUUCAAGGGUGG
This 687-nucleotide long non-coding RNA is filed under the name Nicotiana benthamiana. RNAcentral describes it as "long non-coding RNA (NBEN_LNC042676)". Lineage: Eukaryota; Viridiplantae; Streptophyta; Magnoliopsida; Solanales; Solanaceae. The record is from RNAcentral.